ACUGCAGUGAAGGCACUUGUAGCAU
RNAcentral lists this non-coding RNA (25 nucleotides) under Gallus gallus (chicken). The record is from RNAcentral. RNAcentral also lists the same sequence under 1 other name. Lineage: Eukaryota; Metazoa; Chordata; Aves; Galliformes; Phasianidae.